GGGCGAAUAGCUCAGCGGUUAGAGCGCCUGUCUUACACACAGGAGGUCGCAGGUUCGAUUCCUGCUUCGCCCACCA
Molecule: transfer RNA, 76 nt
Filed under: Chloroflexota bacterium
Lineage: Bacteria; Bacillati; Chloroflexota
Description: Chloroflexi bacterium tRNA-Val
Rfam family: tRNA
About the family: Transfer RNA (tRNA) molecules are approximately 80 nucleotides in length. Their secondary structure includes four short double-helical elements and three loops (D, anti-codon, and T loops). Further hydrogen bonds mediate the characteristic L-shaped molecular structure. tRNAs have two regions of fundamental functional importance: the anti-codon, which is responsible for specific mRNA codon recognition, and the 3' end, to which the tRNAs corresponding amino acid is attached (by aminoacyl-tRNA synthetases). tRNAs cope with the degeneracy of the genetic code in two manners: having more than one tRNA (with a specific anti-codon) for a particular amino acid; and 'wobble' base-pairing, i.e. permitting non-standard base-pairing at the 3rd anti-codon position.
Source: RNAcentral